RNAcentral lists this ribosomal RNA (253 nucleotides) under uncultured bacterium. Its description in RNAcentral is "partial 16S ribosomal RNA". It matches the Rfam family "Bacterial small subunit ribosomal RNA", at positions 524 to 776 of the family's 1533-position model. The record is from RNAcentral.
UACGUAGGGUGCAAGCGUUAAUCGGAAUUACUGGGCGUAAAGCGCGUGUAGGCGGUUAUCCAAGUCGGGUGUGAAAGCCUUGAGCUCAACUCAAGAAAUGCAUUCGGUACUGGGUGACUAGAGGACCGGAGAGGAUAGUGGAAUUCCCAGUGUAGUGGUGAAAUACGUAGAGAUUGGGAAGAACACCAGUGGCGAAGGCGGCUAUCUGGACGGUUUCUGACGCUAAGACGCGAAAGCGUGGGGAGCAAACAGG